GACGAAGGGGGCUAGCGUUGUUCGGAAUUACUGGGCGUAAAGGGCGCGUAGGCGGUUCUUUAAGUCAGGCGUGAAAGCCCUGGGCUCAACCUGGGAGUGGCGCUUGAUACUGAGGAACUAGAGAGUGGGAGAGGUUGGUGGAAUUCCCAGUGUAGAGGUGAAAUUCGUAGAUAUUGGGAAGAACACCGGUGGCGAAGGCGGCGAGCUGGUCCAUUACUGACGCUGAGGCGCGACAGCGUGGGGAGCAAACAGG
Molecule: ribosomal RNA, 253 nt
Filed under: uncultured bacterium
Lineage: Bacteria
Description: partial 16S ribosomal RNA
Rfam family: Bacterial small subunit ribosomal RNA
Source: RNAcentral